AUGCCUCCGUAGGGGAAUGUUGUAUAUCUGAUGUGUCAAAAAGUACGAUAUGUCGAAAAACCACAUUAUGGAGUGAAAAAUUUUGAUAUACUUAUAACAAGGGUGAGACGCGAAAGUGGGAAACGUCAUGGAUUUUCAGUCGAAAGUGAGGAGCUCACAGUGGUUGUUUUCAACGGAUAUAAUCGAUUAGAUACGCAACUAUUGAGAGAAGAUUUAAUUGAAGCUGAUACCAUUUUUAAUGGGACGAAUUCUGGUUCAAGUGCCAUCAUUACAUAGUUUAACAUUGUCAGUAAAUAUCACAUGUGCUCAUUAUCAGUUCAAAGUACUGUCGCUACUCACACUAUUCAUUCAAGAAAACAUUUUCAUUGAAAACAAAUAUCAAUCAAAAAAGUUUAUUUUUGAGCAUUUCUGAUGUAUUAUUUUGAUUAGUUGAAUUAUUGUCUUGAUCGGCGACAGAUUCGUCGAGAGAUAAUUUCUUGAACAAUUUGUUUUGUUAAAUCUUUUGUAACAAUUACUUUUAAUUUAUAAAAAAUACGGAUGAUUUACAAUUUAGUUACAAAAGGAUAUACUGCAUAAAUCUAGAUUUAGAAUAAAAUAUCUGUUUCAAUCUAAAUUCUGUAGCUUUUAUUAUAAAUAAAAGUUAAAUUGCCAAAGUGCUCUAUAACAUUUUCUUUUAACUACAUACCCACAUUUUUAUAUUUACAAUUUUCGCCUUGAACGUGACCCCCAUGCUGAUUGAAAAAUUUGUGGAAAUAUGUUUAGUAUUUACUUUUAUUUUUAGAAAGACUGGUAUGUCUUGUUGUAGAUUUUCAUGUAUGACACGCAGAAUGUAAACUAGCUUACAAUGCGCGUGCAAGAAUUGCUAAAUGAUUAAACAAAUACAAAUCAAAUAAAUAAAGCUAAGCAACUAGGAGUGUGCUUGUACUCACAUUCCGACAGAUACAUAUGAGCAUGUAAAUAAUAUACGACUGUAUCUGAUGAUAUUAAAAAUGUUGUCCGUUAACACUUUUGUGCAAAUAAUUUUCAUUGAAUAAUCAAUAGAAAACCGAUAAAUGCUUCUUUUGUAUUGUAUCUAAUACAUUUUAACACCUUGCCCAGGUG
Molecule: long non-coding RNA, 1101 nt
Organism: Hermetia illucens (black soldier fly)
Lineage: Eukaryota; Metazoa; Arthropoda; Insecta; Diptera; Stratiomyidae
Exons: 3
Source: RefSeq, a predicted model, not a curated record